CGUGUAGGCGGCAGGCCAAGUCUGGGGUGAAAUCGCUCGGCUUAACUGGGCGGGGUCCCUGGAAACUGGUCAGCUGGAGGACGGUAGAGGUGAGUGGAAUUCCCGGUGUAGUGGUGAAAUGCGUAGAGAUCGGGAGGAACACCCGUGGCGAAGGCGGCUCACUGGGCCGGUCCUGACGCUGAGACGCGAAGGCGUGGGGAGCGAACG
This 207-nucleotide ribosomal RNA is filed under the name uncultured bacterium. Its description in RNAcentral is "partial 16S ribosomal RNA". It matches the Rfam family "Bacterial small subunit ribosomal RNA", at positions 568 to 774 of the family's 1533-position model. The record is from RNAcentral.